UGCGUAGGCGGAAUAAUAAGUCAGUGGUGAAAUCCUGUGGCUCAACUACAGAACUGCCAUUGAUACUGUUAUUCUUGAAUAUAGUUGAGGUAGGCGGAAUGUGUAAUGUAGCGGUGAAAUGCUUAGAUAUUACACAGAACACCGAUUGCGAAGGCAGCUUGCUAAACUAUUAUUGACGCUGAGGCACGAAAGCGUGGGGAGCGAACAGGAUUAGAUACCCUGGUAGUCC
This 229-nucleotide ribosomal RNA is filed under the name uncultured bacterium. Its description in RNAcentral is "partial 16S ribosomal RNA". It matches the Rfam family "Bacterial small subunit ribosomal RNA", at positions 568 to 796 of the family's 1533-position model. The record is from RNAcentral.